UUCAGAAGCCUAUCCCGAAGGUUCUCUUCAUCUUCUGUGAAUCAAUAUAUCUCCACAAAAUUUGCCUUCAAGGCUUCGAAUAAAAACAAUUUUCCUUCACAUCCUCGUCCCGAUGUACUUCACGAGGCGACUUCUCCCUAGCGGCGUCAGUAUAUGAAGAUGUGGCAGCGGCUUGAGGGAAUCAGGCGGCGGAGGCCUGGGGACGACAGGGCGGUUCCCUCACCUCACAGAAAAUCGAGUGUGCUCUUCCUCCCUCCCCUCUCGAGACUUGUGGCAGCUAUGGAGAGUGGGCACACAUCAGCACCGAAUGGAGGGCUUUAGCACUGGAUCGAGGUGAGUCCAUCUCCAGCUCUCUGUCUAUAUCUAGAUCCCUCUGGAUGGUCUGUGUGCUCCGCGCCGGCCAUGUCUGCGACCGGGAACGAACAAUAAAACCUAGGUGGAUGUGAAUGGAUGGUUGGAGGCCUUCGCCGCCCACCCACACAUCGGCACCACCUCCAGUGUCGUCUCCAACUCUGUUUCCUGUCGAUUAGUUAUUCUGUCUGUUGGUAUCAGUCAGUUCAUUACUUCAUCAUCAGGCCAUCAGUCAUCACUACAGAUGGAGCAUUCAUCUGUACUUUCCACAGCCGCUGAUACCACCGCGCAGGAAUUGUCAUAAUGGAAUGCGAAAUACUGGGACAAGUUUGCGUUUAUCUUCAUGAUAUAUGAGUCCAGGAGGACCGCCCGUGAGGUCUUAUCCGAGCUGAAGUUCUGCAUAUGUCCAUUCCAUUAGUUGAUUUCUGUAAUUGACGACAAGUAUGCCUGUUUGGGUUGUCAUCUCAACAAUCCUUCCAACAGUAUUUGGAUAUGCUCUCCUUAAAUUCCAAUAUGUGGUUUCUAUAAUUGACAUGUAUGCCUGUUUGGAUCAUCUCAACAAUCCUUGCAGCAGUAAUGAGUUUUUUCUUGGU
Long non-coding RNA from Triticum dicoccoides, 944 nucleotides. RefSeq lists it as uncharacterized. The record is from RefSeq and is a predicted model, not a curated record. NCBI's taxonomy places the organism in Eukaryota, Viridiplantae, Streptophyta, Magnoliopsida, Poales, Poaceae. The transcript has 2 exons.